GAUGGGCAACCUGUAGCACCAAGACAGACCACAUAAAUAAGCUGAGAGGUUGACAAGUUGAACAAACCAGCUGGAGCACUAUGAAAAGGCACUUCUCCAGACCACGCCUCUGUUGGUGCUUUCGGUGUCAUGGUCAUCCUGUCGGCAAUGGGGGAUGGGUGACUUUGCGGUUCCUCCGUCUCCUCUUCUUUCACCGUUGUUGCAGCACAAAGAGGGUGUUAGACUCAGCUGGAGAGUUCGGCUGGCAGCUGGAGCGGGCAGGGCUGUCUGGAGAUGGAGUUGGGC
Long non-coding RNA from Thunnus maccoyii (southern bluefin tuna), 285 nucleotides. RefSeq lists it as uncharacterized. Lineage: Eukaryota; Metazoa; Chordata; Actinopteri; Scombriformes; Scombridae. The record is from RefSeq and is a predicted model, not a curated record. The transcript has 3 exons.